Molecule: small nuclear RNA, 77 nt
Filed under: Myotis brandtii (Brandt's bat)
Lineage: Eukaryota; Metazoa; Chordata; Mammalia; Chiroptera; Vespertilionidae
Description: 7SK RNA
Rfam family: 7SK RNA
About the family: 7SK was discovered as an abundant small nuclear RNA in the mid-70s but a possible function has only recently been suggested. Two independent studies have found that 7SK RNA binds the CDK9/cyclin T complex (known as elongation factor P-TEFb). P-TEFb activates transcription by phosphorylating the C-terminal domain of RNA polymerase II.
Source: Rfam by way of RNAcentral
UCUGGCUGCGACAUCUGUCACCCCACUGAUCGCCAGGGUUGAGUCCACUGAUCUGGCUGGCUAGGCUGCUGUCCUCU